RNAcentral lists this ribosomal RNA (406 nucleotides) under Microbacterium sp. R10.55. RNAcentral's name for it is "bacterial SSU rRNA". It matches the Rfam family "Bacterial small subunit ribosomal RNA", at positions 89 to 508 of the family's 1533-position model. The record is from RNAcentral. Lineage: Bacteria; Bacillati; Actinomycetota; Actinomycetes; Micrococcales; Microbacteriaceae.
GGAUCAGUGGCGAACGGGUGAGUAACACGUGAGCAACCUGCCCCUGACUCUGGGAUAAGCGCUGGAAACGGCGUCUAAUACUGGAUACGAGUAGCGACCGCAUGGUCAGUUACUGGAAAGAUUUAUUGGUUGGGGAUGGGCUCGCGGCCUAUCAGCUUGUUGGUGAGGUAAUGGCUCACCAAGGCGUCGACGGGUAGCCGGCCUGAGAGGGUGACCGGCCACACUGGGACUGAGACACGGCCCAGACUCCUACGGGAGGCAGCAGUGGGGAAUAUUGCACAAUGGGCGCAAGCCUGAUGCAGCAACGCCGCGUGAGGGAUGACGGCCUUCGGGUUGUAAACCUCUUUUAGCAGGGAAGAAGCGAAAGUGACGGUACCUGCAGAAAAAGCGCCGGCUAACUACGUGC